CUACGGGGUGCUGCAGUGGGGAAUAUUGCACAAUGGGCGCAAGCCUGAUGCACCCAUGCCGCGUGUAUGAAGAAGGCCUUCGGGUUGUAAAGUACUUUCAGCGGGGAGGAAGGGAGUAAAGUUAAUACCUUUGCUCAUUGACGUUACCCGCAGAAGAAGCACCGGCUAACUCCGUGCCAGCAGCCGCGGUAAUACGGAGGGUGCAAGCGUUAAUCGGAAUUACUGGGCGUAAAGCGCACGCAGGCGGUUUGUUAAGUCAGAUGUGAAAUCCCCGGGCUCAACCUGGGAACUGCAUCUGAACUGGCAAGCUUGAGUCUCGUAGAGGGGGGUAGAAUUCCAGGUGUAGCGGUGAAAUGCGUAGAGAUCUGGAGGAAUACCGGUGGUGAAGGCGGCCCCCUGGACGAAGACUGACGCUCAGGUGCGAAAGCGUGGGGAGCAAACAGGAUUAGAUACCCCGGUAGUC
This 463-nucleotide ribosomal RNA is filed under the name uncultured bacterium. Its description in RNAcentral is "partial 16S ribosomal RNA". It matches the Rfam family "Bacterial small subunit ribosomal RNA", at positions 339 to 795 of the family's 1533-position model. The record is from RNAcentral.